RNAcentral lists this ribosomal RNA (466 nucleotides) under uncultured bacterium. RNAcentral describes it as "partial 16S ribosomal RNA". It matches the Rfam family "Bacterial small subunit ribosomal RNA", at positions 28 to 505 of the family's 1533-position model. The record is from RNAcentral.
GACGAACGCUGGCGGCGUGCUUAACACAUGCAAGUCGAACGGAAAGGCCCUGCUUUUGUGGGGUGCUCGAGUGGCGAACGGGUGAGUAACACGUGAGUAACCUGCCCUUGACUUUGGGAUAACUUCAGGAAACUGGGGCUAAUACCGGAUAGGAGCUCCUGCUGCAUGGUGGGGGUUGGAAAGUUUCGGCGGUUGGGGAUGGACUCGCGGCUUAUCAGCUUGUUGGUGGGGUAGUGGCUUACCAAGGCUUUGACGGGUAGCCGGCCUGAGAGGGUGACCGGCCACAUUGGGACUGAGAUACGACCCAGACUCCUACGGGAGGCAGCAGUGGGGAAUAUUGCACAAUGGGCGGAAGCCUGAUGCAGCAACGCCGCGUGCGGGAUGACGGCCUUCGGGUUGUAAACCGCUUUCGCCUGUGACGAAGCGUGAGUGACGGUAAUGGGUAAAGAAGCACCGGCUAACUACG